This is a long non-coding RNA of Ceratina calcarata, 1345 nucleotides long. RefSeq lists it as uncharacterized. The transcript has 4 exons. NCBI's taxonomy places the organism in Eukaryota, Metazoa, Arthropoda, Insecta, Hymenoptera, Apidae. The record is from RefSeq and is a predicted model, not a curated record.
GUAAUAACAUUAACAAUAAAAACGCGGCUCCUAAUAAAAUGACUUAUACAAAUAUUGUAUCGAGCAAUGAAUUAUAACAUAAGAUCGGCUGUCGUGUGGUACGUAACUUAUCGCGCCGGGUAAAUGUGAAAUAUGGAUUGAAACGAAACAUAUAACGUCUUAUUACAGUUUGCGUAUUUCACGAUAAAGUUAUACUCUUGCCGCUUAAUCUAAUCAGCACUUUAGUCGACCAGAACGCUUUGUCAUUAUCGUCUAUCACGGUAACCAAUAAUUGCUAUAAUCAAUAGGAAAUUGCACGUAUGUCUUAAAUCUUCAACAUCUUGAUUGACGUAGCUCAAUCCACGACAUUCGAUUUCUGCGCCCACUUUACUAAACUUUUGAUCAUUGCCAAGAACUUUAUUUAUUGCAGUUUGAGAAAACAUCAGAAUAAAUCAAUUAAUUUGUAUCUAAAUAUUAAAAAUACUCUAAAUUGUUUUACAGUUUUCGAUAUUAUGGAUUGUUUCACAGGAUUUCGACAGUUUAACCGGUUUGAAUAAACUAACUUGAACAGUACUAAUAGAGAUUAGGCCAGUGCGUAGUUUCAAUUAUUUUUACAUUUAUUGAGGUCAAUUGAUAGUAACCAUUAGAUUAUUAUUUAAUAGCUGUUCGUCUAGUCUUUCAUACGCAAAUUAUUUGACAGUCAAUUAUUUGUUUAAAAAUUUUUAAAAAAAUUCUUGUUAAAGAAAUUUUUUUUCUCCAUGUUUAUUUAAAAUGUGUCUGAGCUGACAAUAAGUAAAUCUUAUACACAUAAAAGCACAUACGCAGACUAAGCUUAAUUGGCAAGUGCUAUCAUCUCACAGUGAAUGGCAUGAACUCAAUAUCCUCAAUAUAUUCCUUCAAUCGGAACUACGAAAUCAUUGGCUAAUUCCAAAGUUCUUUCGGUUCCAAUUUGCAUGCCGAUUUAUGUCGUGAAUAAUUAUUCAGGUGAUUUCGGAGGAUUUCAAACCGCUGGUGUUGUGCAGCCACUCCAAAAAGAAUUUCAAGAACUUUUUCGUAUUUGGCAACUACAGCUACGAUUUAUGCAAUGGUGUAUAGUUCAACAGAUUUUAUCAUAAUGGUUUAUCUUUGAAGAGCAACAAUAUCCAUAACAGGCGGUGUGACAACAAAUCCUUCAAUGCCUCGAAGAGAAGGUUUGGGAUGGUCAGAUGGCAAUGUGAAACGUAUUCUUUGCAAUAAACUUGCCAUAAAAAGGAAAACUGUAUUUUUCGCUAAAGUCUCGCCUAGACAUUUUCUUCGCCCUAUGUAAAAUAAAUGCAUAGCUAUUUUAUUGUAAUUCUUAUAUUAAAAUGAUUUUUCUGCCUCUUAA